GAUGAACGCUGGCUACAGGCUUAACACAUGCAAGUCGAGGGGAAACGACGGGGAAGCUUGCUUCCCCGGGCGUCGACCGGCGCACGGGUGAGUAACGCGUAUCCAACCUGCCUCUGACUGAGGGAUAACCCGUCGAAAGUCGGCCUAAUACCUCAUGGCAUCGUCUGCGGGCAUCCAACGACGAUUAAAGAUUUCAUCGGUCAGGGAUGGGGAUGCGUCUGAUUAGCUUGUUGGCGGGGUAACGGCCCACCAAGGCUACGAUCAGUAGGGGUUCUGAGAGGAAGGUCCCCCACAUGGGAACUGAGACACGGUCCAAACUCCUACGGGAGGCAGCAGUGAGGAAUAUUGGUCAAUGGGCGGGAGCCUGAACCAGCCAAGUAGCGUGCAGGAUGACGGCCCUAUGGGUUGUAAACUGCUUUUAUGCGGGGAUAAAGUGAGGGACGUGUCCUUCAUUGCAGGUACCGAAUGAAUAAGGACCGGCUAAUUCCGUG
RNAcentral lists this ribosomal RNA (491 nucleotides) under uncultured bacterium. RNAcentral describes it as "partial 16S ribosomal RNA". It matches the Rfam family "Bacterial small subunit ribosomal RNA", at positions 28 to 507 of the family's 1533-position model. The record is from RNAcentral.